UAUUAUUAUAUUAAAAUAAUAAUAAAAUAUAAAAUAAAUAAAAAUAAAUAAAUAAAUAAAAUAUUAAAAAAAUUAAAAAUAUUUUUUGGUAAUUAAAAAAUAGAGUUUUAAAAUAAUAAUAAAAUAUUAUUUUAAAAAUAAUUUUGAAAAAUAUACGGAUAGGGAUGAAGUCAUGGAGGAGCGGUGGUUAAGUGGAGGAGUCGUGGGCAGU
Molecule: long non-coding RNA, 211 nt
Filed under: Elaeis guineensis (African oil palm)
Lineage: Eukaryota; Viridiplantae; Streptophyta; Magnoliopsida; Arecales; Arecaceae
Description: long non-coding RNA (EGUI_LNC000221)
Source: RNAcentral